AGGAUCUUCACUAGAUGAAACAGUCCACAACAACAAAAAACACAAAUUUUAAUGCAUUCGAAUCUCUGACACAUUUACUAUUUAGUUCAGCUAUUAGGACACAUGUUUGUAUGUCAGGUGAAUUUAUGACUCAUUCGAUAAGGACAACAAAAUGGAAUAGAACAAAAAUAUUACAAGAUAUCCAAUUAACAAAUAGGAAUAUUAAAAUCGUUGACGUUUUUAAGAAUAUGUAUUGUCUCAGCUUUGAUAUAAGAUCCAUAAGGAACACACACAGUUAAACUUUGUUUACAUUAAAUUUCUCAUUUCACUUCGGAAACAUAGACAAAUAAACAUUCACAUCUGUAUGUUUGAUUUAUGUGUAGACGAAUUUAUUUAAUAAAAUGCCAGCGGAAGUAGCUUUCAUCAUGAACACGUCAAAACUCACCAUAAGAUGGGCAAAAGUGUCAAAGCAAGGACCAGAACAAUGCGUAUCUCACAAGCCAACUUGAAAAAAUCUUGCACAUUAUGAAAGAAGCAACGUCACAACAAACACAAUGCAUAAAGAAAAUGAAGAAGUAUAAGAUUAAAACAAGAUUUUGUGAGGAGAAGAAAAUAAAAUGCAAUUCAGUGGAGUAAACAAGCUAUUGGUAUUUCAAUAGGUGUGGGUGGAUGUAAGAAGCCGGGUAGCGAAAGAAACGCAAUACGAAUAUACGGAGGACAUGCCGAAAACGAAAGAGGCAUAUAAGCCCGAUUCAACGCACACGAGUAUAAUUUGGGUGGAAGCAUAUGUACGGUAGAAGACACAGCAUACAUACAAAGUUUUCACGAACACACCCACAUAUACCACAUACACAUUGGAAAUGCAUAUGAACUUAGUGAAAUAACAAAAAUGAUUACUCACCGUUUAAAUCCUUCGUCAACUGGGAACGCGUCGACAUCUUACCCAACUUGUGCAGAAUUUUUGCGGCGAAAGUCAAGUGGAGCGCAACUGGAGCGCAGCAAUGCACGCCAGCAAAACAGGAUUUACCGGAAAUUCAAAGAGUAGGUGUUGGCGGUGCAACAACGGAAGGGAUUGUCGUUGUUGGCUCUUGCGUUGAGGCUGUGGUUGCCAGUGAGGCAAGUGGCCUUCCGUGCCCUUCCAACUGUUAUCGUUUUUGUUGCCGUUUAACCGCUUGAGCUGGUAGAUGUUUUUAUUUGUCGCUUUUUAUGUGUUUGGCCAACCGCUUGGCGUAUCCAAAU
Zeugodacus cucurbitae (melon fly) is the source of this 1218-nucleotide long non-coding RNA. RefSeq lists it as uncharacterized. NCBI's taxonomy places the organism in Eukaryota, Metazoa, Arthropoda, Insecta, Diptera, Tephritidae. The record is from RefSeq and is a predicted model, not a curated record. The transcript is spliced from 2 exons.